Mesocricetus auratus (golden hamster) is the source of this 990-nucleotide long non-coding RNA. RefSeq lists it as uncharacterized. The record is from RefSeq and is a predicted model, not a curated record. NCBI's taxonomy places the organism in Eukaryota, Metazoa, Chordata, Mammalia, Rodentia, Cricetidae. The transcript has 3 exons.
UAUCCAAUACGUGCAUGGGUACAGCUCCACCCGCUGCAGCAUAGGCAACUUCUCAGCAACCACACCCCCAAAGGAAAAUGAUUCUCUUCCCCCAGAAACUAUCAACAUUUGGUAGCUCCCCGUUCAUUCUGAAACGUCAGGUGGCUUGAUGGUAUUCGGGUCUUGUGCAGAUGGACACAGCCUCUAUUUGGACUGGAUUCCUGAGUCUGCCCUGCUCAUAUUCUUAGACCCUGGCGGUGUAGGGGGCCACAUGCCUGUCCGAGUCCGUGUCUUGCAUUAAGAGGGUGGAUGCCGUGACCGCUCAAGUUCUGCCAACUUCCCAGAGCCUCGCCCGUUGCCUUCCAUGUCACAAGUGACCAGGAACUGAACUAUCUGACAUCUGAAGAAUCCGUGUCACGUAGACAUGACUUUUACAGCCCAAGAAAUGGCCGUGACUCUGGUCUUCCCAAGACCUCUUCUCUGGUUUAUGUAUGGAUCUUAGAGAUUAAAUUCUUCAUCUGGACGUUCAUAGAUGUCCUUGUAGGGAAUAGCAGGCUCAGCUGGGAAACCAAGGAGGAAUCUGGAUUUCUAAAAGAUGAUGGAAAGAAAUAUAACAUGGAUAACGUGGAGCCAUUCUGGAAAAGGGCUUGUGAAGAGAGAAAUAGAAGACCUUCUACUGGUGUCGGCUUUGGGUCUGCCUAAGUUAUCCAAGGAGAAGAAAGGCUUUGUUCCAGCUUCAUCCUGAGAUUUUCAGCCAACCCUGGCUUCUCAUAUGGGACUCACCUCCUUUGGCUCUUGGCUGAGUUUCAUCCAUGAGAACCAGGGAUGUUAAAGCUACAAGGAAGCUGUGUUAGUCUCUACUUCCACAUUUGAAGAAGCUGAGUCUAAAGAGGAAGCUGUGUUAGUCUCUACUUCCACAUUUAAAGAAGCUGAGUCUAAAGAGGAAGCAGACCUGAUUACCAGGAGCCCCUCAUCUGGAGUAUCCAAGCCAACUAACUGGUCAGCUCUAAA